Molecule: small nuclear RNA, 107 nt
Organism: Acomys russatus (golden spiny mouse)
Lineage: Eukaryota; Metazoa; Chordata; Mammalia; Rodentia; Muridae
Source: RefSeq, a predicted model, not a curated record
GCACUCACUCCAACACCACAGAUACUAAAAUUGGAACUAUACAAAGAAGAUAAAGCAUGGCCCCUUGCAAAGAUGAUGCGCGAAUUCAUGAAGCACUUCAUAUUUUU